UACGGAGGGGACUAGCGUUGUUCGGAAUUACUGGGCGUAAAGCGCACGUAGGCGGAUUUGUAAGUCAGGGGUGAAAUCCCGGGGCUCAACCUCGGAACUGCCUUUGAUACUGCAAAUCUCGAGUCCGGAAGAGGUGAGUGGAAUUCCUAGUGUAGAGGUGAAAUUCGUAGAUAUUAGGAAGAACACGCCAUGGUGGCAGAACGG
RNAcentral lists this ribosomal RNA (204 nucleotides) under uncultured bacterium. RNAcentral's name for it is "partial 16S ribosomal RNA". It matches the Rfam family "Bacterial small subunit ribosomal RNA", at positions 524 to 724 of the family's 1533-position model. The record is from RNAcentral.